AUGAGUAUUAUAUGAUUCAAUUCGACACCCACUCGAUUCCAAUAGAUGAUAAUGACAGUAGUAGAAAGGGAAUUAACAAGCUCCCUAAAAAUUAAAUAGGUAAAUAUCAUGGGCAUGGAAUAACUGCUAGUAGAUGAAAGAAACUACUAGCAGUCGCGUUUGUGCAGAUCCCGGCACAUCAGUUUACCAUCAGGACCCGGCACGUUGUAUCGAUUACCUCGGCCGCCACCAAACACUUGUUUGUAAGGAUUAGUAGCACCUCCGGUUUGUCCGGCAGCGCGAGAGCCACCGAGAAUCCUGUUAAUUUCAGAAUCCAUCAUGAACUCCAAAUCUAUGUUGGAAUCAGCUAUGGAGUACAAGGGGACGUCACCGUCCAUUUCCGGCAGUGAAAUACCAGCACCGCAACUUUUUGUGUUGAGCAGCAUCAUCAUCAACAACAACGACAAGGAAAGACUCUUCAUAGUAUCUCUCUUAUGUUUCGCUAGCUCUUUCAAUGCUAAUCUAUGAUAAAAGCGAGCAGCUAACUCCGUAUAUAUGGGAUAGGGUGGCAGUGAUCGGCGGUGUUGAAGGUGAUAAGAUGAGGAAUGUUGCAACGCUGGAUUGGUUAGCUCAUAUUUUCCUAUAUAUCAAAAAUUACAUCACAAGAGAUCCCUUUAAUGCUCGAAUGAAUUGAGUGGAUCAACAGCACUAUACAAUUAAUUUCUCUUGACUAACGAAAGGCACUGUACUGUAUUCUAAUGUCGGUGGCGGACAAAAUUUGACAUAGGGUACUGCUUCUUUUGAGAAAACUCAAGUUGGGGCCUAUAAAUUAGGGUAUAAAAUUUAAUUUCUUCAUUAUUUACUUAUUUAGUGUUUGAGAUAGAUUUGUAAUCUUAAUCAUUAAAUACAAGUUGAAAGAGAUAUAAAGAAGAGCUGUAUAUAAAAUUGUAUCUUUUAAAAUUACUUUUAAUAAAUUAUCAUUUCUCUCGUUCUUCUCUUAUCCUUAUAUUCGAUCUUAUAAAUUAGCUACACCCACUCGAUUCCAAUAGAUAAUAAUGACAGUAGUAGAAACUAGAAAGGGAAUUAACAAGCUCCCUAAAAAUAGGUACAUAUCAUGGGCAUUGAAUAACUGCUAGUAGAUGAGAGAAACUACUAUCAGCCGCGAUAGUGCGGCCCCCUAGGCGGUUUAGGAGAACCCUUACCCAAGUUGUAUCGAUUACCUCGGCCGCCACCAAACACUGGUUUAUGAGGAUUGAGAGCACCGCCUUCGCCAGCGCGAGGGGCAACGAGAAUCCUGUUAAUUUCAGAAUCCAUCAUGAACUCCAAAUCUAAGUUGGAAUCAGCUAUGGAGUACAAGGGGACGUCACCGUCCAUUUCCGGCAGUGAAAUACUAGCACCGCAACUUUCUGUGUUGAGCAGCAUCGUCGUCAACGACGACGAUGACAAUGUCAGAGCUGACAAGGAAAGACUCUUUAUGGUAUCUCUCUUAUUUCUAGCUAGCUCUUUUUAGAGCUGUCUAUCUAAUCAAAUAUAAAAGCAAGCGGUGGUGGCUAGUGAUAAGAGUUUGAGAUUAAAAAAUUUAUUUUCUCUGUGGUUUCAGGUUCGAAUCCUGUGAUUGCUCAUAUAAUAACCACUGGAGACUUACAUGGUCGUUAACUUCAGGGCCUGUAGGAUUAGUCGAGGUGCAGCGCAAGCUGACACUCACGUUAAACUAAAAAAAAAAGAUGAGGAAUGUGGCAAUGAUUGACUGGUUAGCUCAUAUUUUCAUAAAUUGGAUAUUUUUUUUAUAUUAUCUUUUUUUAUUAGUAUCUUUUUUUAUAUAUUUUUAUUUAGAUAAUUUAAAUUUAUGUUUAAAUUAAUAUCAUUUAUUUGUGAUUUUUUUUAUUUUUCCAAUAGUUUUUUGGAUAUAAAUUAUUAUUUUUUUAUCUUACUGUGUUUUUAAUUUUUUUUAAAGGUUGAAUAUAAAUUUAAGGGAAAAUAAUUUAUUGAAUCCAGUUGAAUUCAUGAUCCGGGUAAAGGGUUUAUUUUUUUCUAAAAUUUAAUGGAAACAAAUAUUAAGCCUGAUUGAGUUCAUGGUCCGGGUCACAGGUUUAAUUUUUUUAUGUUAAAUGUUGAAUAUAUAUUUAAGGGGAAAAACUAUUGAACCUGAUUGAGUUAAAUUUAUUGUUUGGGUCAUGAGUUUAACGAGUUAAGUCACAACAACCAAACAUUUUUUUUUUCUGAUAUUGCUUUUUUCUAUUGGCAUUUUUUAUGUGUCUUUUUUAAAUAUUUUUUAAAUUUAUGUUUUAAUUAAUAUCCCUCAUUUGUGGUUUUGUUUUUGUUGAUUUUAUUUUUUUUGGAUAGAGAUUAUUUUUUUAUAGUGUUGUUCGAUAUUUAAUUUUUGAAAAACUCAUUCUAAUUCAUCAACAAUAUUUUCUUUUAUCUUUUUAUAUACAAGAAUUUUAUUUUAAAAAUAAAAAAAUAUUUAUUUUUAGAUAACAUAAUAUGUAUAGCCUUGCAUAAUAUUUUUUUUUCACUUUUAUUUUAUUUAAUCAAUUUAAUAUGUGUGUUUAUUUUUGAUAUCAUUUGAUUGAAUAAAAUAUUAAUUUUAAUAAAUAAAUUAAAAAAACACAACCGGACAAAUAUUUUGUUUAUUAACACAUCUGAAUCUUCUAAUUUUAUUUUUAGUUAUCAUCAAUACCUUUUUUUUCUAUUAUUAAUUCACAUAGUUGUCGAUUUAUUUAAUUACAUGUAUGCAUGAGCUUUUUAAUUUAAACUUUAAAUUUUUUUAUGUAAAAAAUACAUCGAAAAAGCAUGCAUGUACAACGUUUUUGUAACGGAGAAAAAUAUAUAGCCCACAUGCGACACAUCAUCUUUUUUUUUUCAUAAACAAUUUGCAAAAAAAAAAAAAGAAGGUCAGAGCUUAUGGGCCCUAACAAAAUAGGCCAAGCAGGCUGACCUGACUUGUUAGGUCCAGCAGCGCUUGACCUUUGUUUUUGUUUUUUGAGUUUCUAUUUUUUAAAAAAAUUAAUUUUUUUUUAUAUGUUUUUUUAAUAUUUUUUAUUUAUAUUUAGAUCAAUACCCCUUUUUUUAUGUUGUUUAGAGAGUCUCUUUGAAAUAACAAUUAUUUUUUAAUUAUUGUUUUAAUUUUUUAAGAGGUUCUUCUGAUUUAUCUAUAAUUUUUUUUUAAUCUUUUGUAUAGAUGAAUUUUAUUUUUAAAAAUAAAAAAAUUUAUUUUCAAAUAAAAUUUCUAAUAUGUACAGCCUUGCAUAUGUUUUUUUAUUCAAUCAAUAUAAUAUGUGUUUUUAUUUCUAUUAUCGUUUGAUUGAAUAAAAAACUUAUUUUAAUCAAUAAAUUUAGCAAACACAAUCAUAUAAAUAUAUCGUCUUAUAAAAUUAAAUAUCUUAAUUUAUAUCUGUCUCUUGAUUUUUCUAUUUUUAUUUUUAGUUAUCAUUUAUAGUUUUUUCCACUUAAUAACACACAUAGUUCUUAAUUUAUUUGAUUAUAUAUAUGUAUAAACUUUUUGAUUUUCACUUAGAAUUUUUUUAAAUAAUAAAAAUAUGUUGAAAAAAUCUAUAUAUAAAUUUAUUUUCUUAAAAAAAAAUAUGUAGCUCGCGGCAAAUAAAAUAUCUAAAUAUCAACUGUUUUUAAUGGCCAGAUCACGAAUACACAAUACAGAGGACCUUUCAAAGGUCUUCCAUGGCCAAUUGGUCCACUCUGUUUGCUGCCUCAUAACGUGCAUUUAAUUUUAUAUUUUUGCCAGCGACCUGUUUAUAUUUUUUAAAAAUUGACCCUUUAUAUUGUUUUUUUGUUCAAUCCAGUAUAAUUCUUGAUUUCCCUUCACUGCCUGUUUAUACUUCAUAAGAUGUGAAAAAAAAACAAGGAUAAUUAAUCAACUCAAAGCAUGGUUUGAAUCACUCAAAAGUUCGUGCUGAUCAUGAGGAAAAGGUUUCUAAUCUCUAAUUAACAAUCUCUUAAUUAACCUAAUUUUUUACAUUUUUGUUUAAUGAACUUUCCCUCAACGGCAAUCAUCUUCAUCUAUCUACCAUAAGUUUUGAGGAUGCACCGCACCACCAGGGCAUGAACUCCAGAAAGUCUCCACCAUAAGUUUUGAGGAUUCACCGCACCACCAGGGCGUCAGUAGCACAAUCAACAUUGAUCUGAACCGAUUUUUCUUUUUAUUUGGCCACUCGACGGCAACAUCCCUAUAUAUUCCCUAUUAUUUCUUCUUCCUUUUUUAUAUUUUUCGAAUCAACGUCCCUAUUCUUUCAAGCUGGAAAUAUUUGAAUGUGCUAACUAAUUUCAAAGAUCUUCAUGCCCCACUCGUACUAUCAAAGACAAAAAUCAAGAUCUUCAUGCCCCACCAUAAGUUUUAAGUAUGUAAUAUUACGAUAUAACAAAGUUAUUUAGGGAUGUUCAAUCGAUCUUGGAAUGAAAGAAAAUCAAGAGAUUGAGAAUAUAUUUUCUAAACCUUUAUUUCAAAGACAAAAAAAAAAGUUGAUUUUUUUCCCAUCAUGGUAUGUUAAAUUAGAAUCUCAAAUCAAGUUUUGUUUUAUGAAAAUUAAUCACAUGACAAAUAUAUGUGUGUGUUAAAAAUCCCUAUUAUAAACAAGUCGUUCAUGUAUUUUAAAGACAAAGCGAAUUCCUCCCUUAUAAUAUAUAUUAUGUGCCAACUCUUAUCAAUCUUCAUGUAAUCUUUUUCAUUAAUAAAAGUUAAUGCUUUAUAAGAACCUAUAUUUAUCUAAUUUCCUUUUAUUUUACUAGUUUAGUAGACGAGUGAUAUAUUAAAGCCUUGUUAAGUUAUUUAUAACAAGAAAGUAGAGGUGAUUCUUUUUUGUUUGAUUUGGUUUUUACCUAAAAAAUAACCAAAUUGAUUUAAAAAAAAACUGAAACCGAACCGAAACCGGUUCAAACCGAUUGGUUUUGAUUCGUUUCGGUUAUUUUAGAACAAAAACCAAAACCCAACAGAUUGGUUUCGGUUCAAUUUGAUUUCGGUUCAUUUUUUAUUCAAUUCAGUUUUGGUUUGGUUUGGUUAUUUUAUAUUAAAAAGCAAAAACUAUAUUGUUUUUUGGGGUUUUUUUUGUAAUUUCUAAUGGGUUUGGUUUCGGUUUGGCUCGGUUAUAAAACCAAAACCGAACUGAACCAAUCACUUUUUUCACUAUUCUAAUUGGUUUAAUCAAUUUUUUUUCACGGUUCGGUUAUUUCAAAUAUUUUUUUCUAGUUUUCUCGAUUUAAAUUAGUUUUUUGAAAAUUAUAUAAGAAAUGGAGCUUCUCCUCUUUAAAAAUUAAAUAUUUCUAAAAAAAAUAAAGAAAAAAAUAUAUCAAAUAAGAAAUGGACGGAUUUUUAUUCAAUCUAAUCAAAUGGAAAAAUCUAAAGACACGGAAAUCUGUAAAGUUGAUAGAAUACAGCCAACGACUUAGAAGUCCUUCAUGCCCCACUCGUACUAUCAAAGACCUUUCAAAGGUCUUCCAUAUAUUGUCCCUUUGCCAAAUGCUACAUUGAUACUACUCCAUGAGACUUUUAUAAUUACCAAUACUUGAAAACGAUUUUACAAGGAAUUCCUAAAUUUCCUUUUGUACUCUAAUUUAAUACAUAAGAAAUAAAAAAAUAAAAAUAAAAAUAAAAAUUAGAAUCAGUCAACUAUAGCAUGACUUAAAUUUACACCUCUCAGCAUAUAAUAAUUAAAAGGAGCUUCUCCUCUUGAUUUCUUCAUUUCUCCUCCUUUGGCCAAAAACAAAAUGAGUAGCAGCAGCAGCAAAUAUCUCUCUCUCACAAACUCACCUCUGUUCACACCUCUGCACCUCUCCUUCCUGUUCCUCCAUCUCACCAUCCUUGUAACCGGGGAUCUACCACCACCUUACGUCCCUCUCGAUAGCAUAGCGCUUGAUUGUGGUUCAUCCGCCGAUAGUUUUGGAAACGAUAGAAACUGGACUGCAGACAUCAACUCAAAAGUGGCCCUUCUAGAUCAAGACAGCCCCUCAACAAAUCUCACAGCAAAUGGAGCCUCCACUAGCUCUGUACCUUAUUAUACUGCUCGCGUCUCUCUCUCCCAAUUCACCUACACAUUUCCUGUCACAACAACAGGACCUAAGUUUGUUCGCCUCCAUUUCAAUCCAGCUUUCUACACUGGUUUCAACAGGUCUAAAGCAUCUUUUUCUGUCACAACCGGUCGCUAUACCUUUCUUAGCAACUUCAGUGGCUUCCAUUACACUGACCCACAUGGUGAACGAGCUGGUUACGCCAGAGAAUUCAUCUUAAAUGUUGAAGAUGAGCAGAAAAAUCUGAGCAUAACGUUCACGCCAAGCCCUCAUGUUGCUGAUGCAUAUGCUUUCAUCAACGGGAUUGAAAUCGUAUCCAUGCCCACCAAUCUUUAUUACACUGCAGGAGAUGACCCAGGGCCGUAUGAUUUUGACCGGGAGUUCUAUCUUCCCCUUGAAAACAAAACUGCUUUAGAGAUCAUGUACCGAGUAAAUGUGGGUGGGGGAGAGAUCACACCGCCCUACGACACUGGCAUGUUUCGAAGUUGGUUAAACGAUGUCGAUUACUUGACGGAUGUUCAACCAGACGCUUUUCAAUUUAAUGGCACUAUUCAACUUCAGUAUAAUAACCACACUCGCUAUGCUGCACCUGACGUGCUCUAUCGAACUGCUAGGGCCAUGGCGAACAAUUCAACUGUAAAUGAGAAAUACAAUCUGACUUGGGACUUUCGGGUCCACUCCAGAUUCACCUAUCUUGUUAGGCUUCAUUUCUGUCAGUUUAUACCGAUUUUAUUGCAAAAAGGCGAUAUAGUCUUUAAAAUAUAUAUCGCUAAUCAAACGGCAGAGCGUUACGCAGAUAUAAUCUCUUGGGCUGAUGGAAAUGGGGUUCCCGUAUACAGAGAUUACGUAGUGAUGAUGGAUGCCAGAGGAAACGAAGAGAUACAGAAUUUGUCAAUUGCAUUGCACCCUAUUCAGUCUACUAAUGCCUUCGAUGCAAUGUUGAAUGGAGCUGAAAUCUUCAAAUUGAGCAAAUCAGACAAUCUUGCCGGACCAAAUCCUGACGCGUAUCCGGACAGCCCCGUUAGUAAUAUUCCUAGCGCGACCUCAACAAAGCCAAUGCAUAGUCUUAGAAGAACAGUCGCCAUUAUUGGUGCUGCUGUUUCGGGCAUUGUUGUCGUCUCUGUUCUAUUUUUCUUGAUUUUCCGGAGAAGAGUCCAAAAAUUCAAGGACUUGGUUUCUGGUGAUGCAGCUUCAAACUUAAGCCCUCUUGUUUCCUCUUCAGGAAAGUCAACAAAGACCCAUAGGCCAUCUCUACCUUCUGAUCUAUGCUACCGUUUCUCGCUAGUUGAGAUCAUAGCAGCUACAAACAACUUCGACGAUUCUUUCAUUAUUGGUGUUGGUGGCUUUGGUAACGUGUACAAAGGAUUAUUUGAUGGUGGAGUCAAUCGUGCUGCGAUCAAGCGAUUGAAUCCAAGUUCACAGCAGGGUGCAACCGAGUUCAAGACAGAGAUCGAGAUGCUCUCCCAGCUUAGAUUCCGCCAUUUGGUUUCUCUAAUUGGUUACUGUAAUGAGAAUAAUGAGAUGAUCCUGGUGUAUGAUUAUAUGGCUCGGGGGACGCUUCGUGAUCAUCUCUACAGAACUGAUAAUCCUCCACUUUCAUGGACUCAACGCCUAGAGAUUUGCAUCGGUGCUGCCCGUGGGUUGCAUUACCUUCACACAGGUGCCAAGCACACUGUCAUUCAUCGUGAUGUGAAGACAACAAAUAUCUUGCUGGAUGAGAAAUGGGUGGCCAAAGUUUCGGAUUUCGGAUUGUCCAAAACAGGCCCUACGAGCACAUCGAAGGGCCACGUGAGCACCGUUGUGAAAGGUAGCAUAGGGUACUUGGAUCCCGAAUAUUGUCAACGCCAGCAAUUGACAGAAAAAUCUGAUGUCUAUUCAUUUGGGGUUGUGUUGUUCGAGGUAUUGUGUGCUAGACCAGCAAUAAACCGAUCAGCAGUGCCAGCAAGUCUAGCAGAGUUGGCUAGACAGAGCCACAGCAACGGAAGGAUUAAUGAAAUCAUUGAUCCGUAUCUGGAUAGAAAGAUCUCACCAGAUUGUCUGAAAAACUUUGUUGAUGUUGCGGUGAGAUGCUUGCUCGAGAAUGGAAUCGAAAGGCCUUCGAUGACCGAUGUGGUUUGGGGCCUUGAGUUUGCAUUACAACUGCAAGAGAGCGCGGAAGAGUAUGUCAAAGUGGCUCAAACUGAGAAAGAAGUUGACAUGGAGACUCCUCUGAAAGGCUCCUCAAUCGAUGACAGCAGUGAUUUGUUUAGUACUGGCAGUGAACUAGUUGUGAAUUCCCGCAUUUUGGAAAUGGCAACAACAAGCAGCAGCGACGAACAAAGUUUUCUAAGCAACGAGUCGGAGAAAAUGAUGUCUGGUGCUGUGUUCUCUGAGAUCAUGAACCCAAAGGGGCGAUGAAAAGCAAGCUAGUUAGCAUGCUGCAUUAGUAUAGGCCUCAAGACAAAGGUUUCUAGCUGAAAUACCUAUCGAUGCAUAUAUAUGCAUUACUUGUUUGAAUAAUUUUGGUAGUGAUAAUUAGUGUGUCUGAUAGAAUGAUUUUAUUGCAGUACUCUGCAUAUUCAGCAUUAAUUGGAACCAAUUUUUCAUGUUAUUUGACCACUCAGCCGCAAGAUCACCACUCUUUCAAGCUAUCUGAUUCAAAAUUCGGCUGACUUGGAUGAAAGGAAAUCAAUAGACUGAGAAGAUUUUCUCCACAAAAAAGCUGACUUUUUUUCCCAAAAACAUUUGUUCCUUACUCCCUAUCAUAAUAUGUUUAAUCAAUAUGCUAAAACCAAAUUUUAUUGUUCAUAUAAGAACAAGAUUUGAUUUUCAAAACCCUUAUUUGACAUGCAUACUCAGUUUCAAAUAAAACACAAGAAGUUGGUCUAUUUUUUCUUAACUUUAAAAUAAUCUAUAAAGAAUAUUUCACCUGUGAAAAGAUAAUAAAGUCAAUUAAUAAAAAUCUUAGAUAUUAUUACUAACGUUAUAAGAACUGCAAACAAUAUUAUUUUUCUAAAAGAGGACUUUCAUCGUUAAUUGUAAAUGCACGAGAAAAGAAAAUGUGAAAUACAUUCAGAAAUUAAUUUAUGACUAAUUAUUAUUAUUUAUACACAAAUAAUUGAUCAAAUUUAUAAUUGAUCAAAUUAAUAGAAAGGUUAGACUCCACAAUAUUAUUAAUGUCUUUGUUUUCACCAAGCAAUGCCAACAAGUUUAUGAUACAUACACUUUUUUUUUUCAGAAAUGAUCGUUCAAGAGUUGAUUGGUUAUCCAUAAUAAAAAUCAAACUUAGAGAUCGUGUCUAGGUUGUUCAAGAUAACAACGAUGAAUUAACUAUGAGAAAUGAUGUCUUUCAACUUGAUGAGUUAAUUGAUUCAUAUUGAGCUACUUCGUCUAAUUAAUGACUUGGAAGAAAACUCAAAUUUUCAUGUCGCCGAGAAUACUUUGAUUGAUAUUGAUGUUGAGGAGUUAAAUGAUGUUUUGAGAAUAGUAAACAUACAUAAAUCGAUGAAGAUGAUGACAGCGAUAGAAUCAAAAUAGAAGAUUGUGAUGGAGAUUUGUAAAAUGAUUAAUUACUACAAUUGCCACUGAUUUUCUAUUUUUUAAUAAUUUUUUUAAAAAGAUUCUAAAUUAUUAUUGACAGGGUUACCAAUGGACUUAGGCCGUCAGUAUAUUUUAGAGAAUUUAAAAAGAAUUACUGCAAGUGUCACUGAUUGUUUACUCAUCAACUGAAUAACAAACAGUCUGUUUGAUGGUUAUAUGUUAAAUUCAUCGAAGGAAAUACCGAUGGAAAAAUAAAAAUCACCAACGAAAUGAUAUACGGUUUUUCUGUCGGUGAUAUAUUAUAUUCAUCGAUGGAAAUGUUGAUGGAAUAAAAUAGGUUAAUUUUUUUUUUGGUAUGCUUUUUCUGUUAGUAAAUCCAUCGGUAAAAUUAUUACUGACAGACCACAAAUCAACGACGAGAGUUUUUCUGACGGAUUAUUUCUAUUUGUGAGCUCGUUGAGAAAUUUUGUGUUGAUAGAUUGUGAGUAUAAAUAUUAACAGAAAAUUUCAUCGGUAAAUCUAAAAAUUCUAGUAGUGUUAUAAUUAAUUACUAAUUAUAAAAACAAUUCUUCUUAUUAUUGAUACUCAUGAGAUUGAUACUUAAAGAUUUCAGCUUAUAAUACUAUCAUGUUAUGAAUUAUAAAAAAUAUUAAAGAGUAAAAAUAUUGAUUGAAUUAAAAAUUAUCAUGUUAGAGAAAAUAAGAAGAAAAAUAUUAAAUAAGAAUUAAAAUGGUUGUAUAAAUUAAUAAGAUAAAACAACGUGAAUUUACUAGUUAUAUCUAAAUUUAUGAAAAUCAAUAAAGAAAGGUCCACAACGUGAAUCUUACUGCUGCACAAUACGGAGGACCUUUCAAAGGUCUUCUUCCAUUUCCAAUCGGUCCACUCUAUUUGUUGCCUCAUAACGUGCAUCAGGUGUUCACAUGAAACUGGGCCCAAAGGCUUGGAACUUUGCCAACAAUAUGUUUUUGCCUUUAAUGCAUAUAUAUAUAUAUAUAUAUAUAUAUAUAUAUAUAUAUAUAUAUAUAUAUAUAUAUGCAUGACAAAUAAAAGAAUUUGGUACUCAUUUCUCUCUUUUAUUUUAUUAGUACGGUGACCCACGCUACGUCAUAGAUGAAAAAAAAAUUCAGAAGAUGACAACCUAAGUCGAGUUAGGUUAAUUUGACUAACCUAUGAUCCAGGAUAAAAGUUUAGGAUAAUGCUAUAGAAAAGAAAGCGAAAAAAAUAAUAAAACUCAAGGCCCAAUAAUCUAAUGUCAAAAGAUGAAAUUGAAAAAAUAAAAUUCAAAAAUAAAAACAUCGAAGAAAAAACACGAGUCAACCUGGGCUCACCCAAAUAUCCGCUACCCUCAAUAUGCGAUCAGAAUAAAAAAAAUAAUUUAAAAAAAAAACUUAAAAAAGAACCGAAGUUAAAUCAAUAAAUAAAAUGCCAAGAAAACAAUUAAGUCCACCCGGGUUAACUUGACAAACUCGUGACUCGGGUCAACCACAUAUAAAGAAAAGUAGAAAAAUCACAAAGAUCACAACCCAAAAAUCUAAUGUCAAAGAAUUAAAUUGAAAUAAAAAAUCAUUUUUUAAAAAAACAAAUGUAAAAAAUAAAUUGAGUCAGCCAAGGUUCACUUGACUAACUCGCAACCCGUAAAAUGUGAUCGUGAUAAAAAAAUUAAUUUUAAAUAAAAAGCACCAAGAAAAAAAGACCUAAGUAAAAUAAAAGGAAUAUCGAAAAAAACCAAAGUCAACCCGAUCUAACUUCACAAACAUGCGGCCCAGGAUAACCCCAUAGAAAGAAAAAUGAAAACAAAUCAUAAAACUCAAGGUCCAAUAACAUAAUUUCAAAUGAUGAAAUAAAAAAACAAAAAAAAACCAUAAAAAAGUUAAGACCUGUGAUAUGAGAUCGAGAGAAAUCUACAUAAAAAAAUGCGGAAAAUAUCACGAAGCUCGAGACUCAAUAACUUAAUGUCAAAGGAUAACAUAAAAUAAAUAAAUAAGAAAAAAAACUCGAAUGAACCUGGGUUCACCCAGCAAACCUAUGACCUAGGAUAAGAGACCAAGAUAACUCCAUAAAAAAAAAUGGAAAUAACCAUGAAACUUAAGGCCCAAUAACCUAAAUUUAAAUGAUAAAAUUGAAAAAUAAUCAAUUUUAAGAGAAGGGCAUAAAAAAUAUCAAAAUUAAAUCAGGCUAAUCCUCAAAACUAGUGACUUGAGUCAUGAGACUGAGAUUAAACCAUAGAAGGGAAACUCUAAAAAAUACCAAGCAAAAUCCCUAAUCAUCCAAAAUUACAAGAAAAAAAUAGCAAUAAAAAAAACAAGAAUCGAAUCUGGAAUAAAAAUUAAAUGAAAGAAAACAAUGAGGGACUAAAUUGAAAAUUAAAAUAAAUUAAGAAAAUAAAAAAAAAUAGUAAUCACAUAAUGAGGACCAAAAUUGGAUAUAAAAAUUAAAUGAAAUAAAAUUCUUAGGGAAUAAAUUGAAAAAAAUAAAGUUCAAAAAGCAUUAAAAGAAAAAAAGUAGAAAUAAAUAAAAAUGAUGACUAAAAUUGAUAAAAAUAUAAUUUGUUGUUGCAAAUUUUGAGGUCAGGAGAGAUAAAAAAGAGGAGAAAAGAAAAAUAUUCAUCGGAACGUCCAUCCUGAACAAGUGCCUCACCAUUGCGAAAAAGACAAUGCCCUGCUUCAGACGCUGUAGUGGACGACAACAUUUGACCACUAGGAGGUGCCACACGAGCUGCCUAAAGAACGUGAAUGCCUCCUAAUUGCUGGUGCGCGCGUGACAUUGAUCGGCAUGAUCAUGAUUCAUUCUCAUCGCAUCCAUAACCAUUAUCCUUUAAGGAUUAUUGUUGUCAUCUACAACUCCAUGCACGUUGCUAACACUAGAAAUUAACUCAACUAUCUUUUCUAUCAUGGUCUCGUGAGGAACAAUUGGUUUUCUGUGUGCAUACCAACACAAGUAUUUCUCCAUGAACCAUUUUUAUAGAAGAUGCAUCGUUACAACAUCUGGAUCGAGAAAUUUUUUAUUUUUACAUCUCUUGCAUAGAUACCUAAUACCGUUUCCACUAAUAUUUCUCGGAUUAGAAUUUGCAUAAUUAAUAAAACCUUAAAAUCCAUUACAAUAAUUCAUCCUCCACAAUCCUUGUGGUGAAUCUCGAUAUAUUCAUGAACAUCCAUCACUUUUAUGAAACCUAUAUCAAAUAAUGAUGACAACAUGUAUUAAUUAACUAUAUAAACUAAAUAAAUUUGUAAAAAUAUUGGUUUAGCUCAAGAUUAUUCAACCUACUUUAAUACUUCUCUUAAUUCAUUAUCAAUUAUCUUCGUAGAUACAAAUUUGUACACUUUUACGGAAAUUACAACUCGACAAUAAAAUUGAUAAAAUAUAAAACGGAACCGUUAAACAAGCCAUUAUUUAUUUCAUCACAACAUAUCUAAGUCGGUAAUUCAACAUAAGUUUCAAUAAUUUAUAAACAAAUACAAUUUUACAAAAUCUAAAACAAGCCAUAACAUGUACAAAAUCAUAAAUCCACACAACAAGUUUGUUUGAGAAAAAACAAUAAAACAAGUAAACACGUAAACAAAAUACAUAUAUUACAAAAAUAUAUAAUAAAAAAAUUAAAAUUUUAAAAUUAUAUUCCAAUUAAAAAAAGAUAAAGAUAAAUUUACUUUCUUAAAUGGAAAUCCUUAAUAAAAUUUCAACAAAAAUUCCAUUCAAGUGUCUAAGACGAUUUCUGAUGCUUUGGGGGUUCACCUUCAUAUACAGAGGAACUGCACCCCACUAAUUAUUGCACAAAUAAUAAGAGAGCUCUUAUUUGUGAGAUGCUGAGGUAAAUAUAUUGAUAGGAGAGCUUAAUUUUUGAAAAACUCAUUCUAAUUCAUAAACAAUUUUUUCUUUUAUCUUUUUGUAUACAAGAAUUUUAUUUUAAAAUAAAAAAUAUUUAUUUUCAUAUAACAUAAUAUGUAUAGCCUUGCAUAAUAUUUUUUUUCACUUUUAUUUUAUUUAAUCAAUUUAAUAUGUGUGUUUAUUUUUAAUAUAAUUUGAUUGAAUAAAAAUAUUAAUUUUAAUAAACAAAUUCAAAAAAUACAAUCAGAUGAAUAUUCUGUUUAUUAACACAUCUGAAUCUUCUAAUUUUAUUUUUAUUUAUCAUGACUACCUUUUUUCUGAUUAUUAAUUCACAUAGUUGUUGAAUUAUUUGAUUACAUGUAUGCAUGACCUUUUUAAUUUAAACUUUUAAUUUUUUUUAUGUAAAAAAUGCAUCGAAAAAGCAUGCAUGUACAACGUUUUUGUAAGAGAAAAAAAAUAUAGCCCACAGGCGACGCAUCAUUUUAUUUUUUUCAUAAACAAUUUGCAACAAAAAAAAGGUUAGCGCGCAUGGGCCCUAAUAAAAUGGGCCAAGCAGGCUGACCUGGCUUUGCGAGGUCCAGCAGCACCUGGCCUUUGUUUUUGUUUUUGUUUUGUUUUUUGUUUUGUUUUUUGUGUUUCUAUUUUUUUAAAAUUAAUUCUUUUUUUAUAUGUAUUUUUAAUAUUUUUUUAUUUAUAUUUAGAUUAAUACCCCUUAUUUUUUUUUAUGUUGUUUAGAGAACCUAUUUGAAAUGACAGUUAUUUUUGAAUUAUGCAUUUAAUUUUUUAGAAGGUUUUUCUGAUUUAUCUAUAAUUUUUUUUAAUUUUUUGUAUAGAUGAAUUUUAUUUUUGAAAAUAAAAAAAUUUAUUUUCAAAUAAUAUUUCUAAUAUGUGGAGCCUUCCAUAUUAUUAUUUUUUCCUUUUAUUUUAUUCAAUAAAUUUAAUAUGUGUAUUUAUUUCUAUUAUCGUUUGAUUGAAUAAAAAAUUUAUUUUAAUCAAUAAAUUUAGCAAACACAAUUAUAUAAAUAUCUUGACUUAUAAAUUUAGUUAAGCAGGAGAACAUUGUCUGUUAAAAUCUUAGCCCUUGAUUUAAUCGAAGGGCUAAAAUUAAAAUAACAUGAUAUACUAACUUGAAUGAAGCUCCCUCCAUAUAAACAUUUAUUAACAAUUAAUUAUAUUAAACAAAUAAAAUAUAAAUAUUAGUUUUACACUGAAGAAUGCAUAAUGAUAUUCUAAACUCAAGGAUGAAUUUUAAAUUAUGUUAUAUGAAACAGAAAAGACAAAACAAAACACACACAUGGUGGGGUCUUAACAAUUAUGGAACACAAAAAACAAAGAGAGAGUGAUGCAACAAAAACCUCAAAUACUUAGAGAUAGUGAUGGAAAAAGGAGGAAAAGAAAAGCAUUAUGGAACACAAAAAACAAAGAGAGAGAGAGAGCGAUUGAGGGGAAGAAGAAACGAACACUAGGGUCUCAAGAAACAGUACAGUGCUCGAAUGAUCACAAAGUAAACGAGGCAUAACCCAGCUCAAUCAUUAGACUGCUGCGCACCACUCUUGGCAAGGAAAUCAGCGCAAGCAUUCCCCUCUCUCAAAGUAUGUGACAGCCUACACCCCCAACUCUGCUGCAUAAGAGACCGAAUAAUAUUCAUGAUAAUUGCAUACCAUGGAUGACAAGUACUGCUUGAACCAUUAGCAGCAUGUAAAGCUUCCUUAGAUUCAGUUUCAAAAAUAACAAUUUUGGACCCAAGAAUUCAUGCUGGCAACAAACCAUGGAAUGUGGCUUGGAGUACUUGUUCAUCUGCCAAAUUGGUUGUGUAACCCAGAAAGCCAAGGCAACCAUGCUAUCCAUAUCCCAUUUUCACCACGAAAAUAAUUAAUAAACGAGAAGCAUGAAAUCAUUCUGAAGAACGGAAAUGUUGGGUUUGAUCUUUUUCCUUUACCCAUUGUGGAGAAACUUACAGUAAGUUGGUAUUAGUGAUCGAGCAAUGAAAAUUGUUUUAGAUGAGAGAAACAUUGAGUAUAACAUAUUUUUUAAGCUUCAGGGGUGGCCAUGGCCCCCUCUAUCUCCCUAGCCUCUGCAAGGGUUUGUGUGUGAUUAUCUCUUCUCUAUGACAACACUUUUCUUUAUAUCUAUAUAUUGAAUUCUCAACCACAAGUAACGUAAUUUGAAGUUCAACGCAAAAUAUAAUCUACCAUGAGUAUUAUAUGAUUCAAUUCGACACCCACUCGAUUCCAAUAGAUGAUAAUGACAGUAGUAGAAAGGGAAUUAACAAGCUCCCGAAAAAUUAAAUAGGUACAUAUCAUGGGCAUGGAAUAACUGCUAGCAGUCGCGUUUGUACUGCGACCGGCAAUUCGGUUUAUUAGAACCCUUAGGCACGCAGUAUCGAUUACCUCGGCCGCAACCAAACGCUGGUUUAUGAGGAUUGAGAGCACCACCUCCAACACGGCGAGAGCCACGGAGAAUCCUGUUAAUUUCAGAAUCCAUCACAUGAACUCCAAAUCUAAGUUGGAAUCAGCUAUGGAGUACAAGGGGACGUCACCGUCCAUUUCCGGCAGUGAAAUACUAGCACCGCAACUUUUUGUGUUGAGCAGCAUCAUCAUCAACAACAACGACAAUGUUAGAGCAGACAAGGAAAGACUCUUCAUCGUAUCUCUCUAAUUUUGAGCUAGCUCUUCUUAAUGCUGUCUAUCUAAUCAAAUAUAAAAGCAAGCAGCUAAGACAGGUGAGGAAUGUGGCAAUGAUUGAUUGGUUAGCUCAUAUUUUCCUAUAAAUGAAAUUAAAUGACAUCACAAGAGAUCAAUUUCAUGCUAGCGUGGAUCAACAGCACUAUACUUUACCUGUUUCAGAUGUAGAUCCGGAUCACGUGUUUAAAUUUUCUUUUUAAAGUUAAAUAUAAAUUUAAAAGAAAAAAUAUUGAAUUCAAUUGAAUUUAUAAACCGGGCAUGAAUUUAAUAAGUUAAACCAUAAUAAUUAGAUUUUUUUUUAUAUUGUCUUUUUUUAUUGGUAUCUUUUUUUAUAUAUCUUUUUUUAGAUAAUUUAAAUUUAUGUUUCAAUUAAUAUCAUUUAUUUGUGAUUUUAUUUUUAUUUUUUUGGAUAUAAAUUGUUUUUUUUAUCAUGUUAUGUGUUUUUAAUUUUUUUUAAAAGAUUGAAUAUAAACUUAAGGGAAAAGAAUUUAUUGAAUCCAGUUGAGUUCAUGGUCCAGGUACAGGGUUUAUUUUUUUCUAAAAUUUAAUAGAAACAAAUAUUAAGCCCAGUUGAGUUCAUGGUUCAGGUCACAGGUUUAAUUUUUUUAUGUUAAAAGUUGAAUAUAUAUUUAAGGGGAAAAACUAUUGAAUCUGAUUGAGUUUAUUGUUCGGGUCAUGAGUUUAACAAGUUAAGCCACAACAACUAGAUAAUUUUUUUUUUUUUUCUGAUAUUGCUUUUUUCUACUGGUAUUUUUAUGUGUCUUUUUUAAAAUAUUUUUUAAAUUUAUGUUUUAAUUAAUAUCUCUUAUUUGUAGUUUUUUUUUGUUGAGUUUUUUUAUAGAGAUUAUUUUUUUAUAGUGCUGUUCGUAUUUAAUUUUUGAAAAACUCAUUCUAAUUCAUCAACAAUUUUUUCUUUUAUCUUUUUGUAUACAAGAAUUUUAUUUUAAAAAUAAAAAUAUUUAUUUUCAGAUAACAUAAUAUGUAUAACCAUGCAUAAUAUUUUUUUUCACUUUUAUUUUAUUUAAUCAAUUUAAUAUGUGUGUUUAUUUUUGAUAUCAUUUGAUUGAAUAAAAUAUUAAUUUUAAUAAAUAAAUUCAAAAAAUACAACCGGAUACAAAUAUUUUGUUUAUUAACACAUCUGAAUCUUCUAAUUUUAAUUUUAGUUAUCAUCAAUACCUUUUUUUUUCUAUUAUUAAUUCACAUAGUUGUCGAUUUAUUUGAUUACAUGUAUGCAUGAGUUUUUUAAUUUAAACUUUAAAUUUUUUUAUGUAAAAAAUAUAUCAAAAAAGCAUGCAUGUACAACGUUUUUGUAACGGAGAAAAAUAUAUAGCCCACAUGCGACACAUCAUCUUUUUUUUUUCAUAAACAAUUUGCAAAAAAAAAAAGAAGGUCAGUGCUCAUGGGCCCUAACAAAAUAGGCCAAGCAGGUUGACCUGACUUGUUAGGUCCAGCAGCGCUUGACCUUUGUUUUUGUUUUUGUUUUUUGAGUUUCUAUUUUUUUUAAAAUUAAUUCUUUUUUAUAUGUUUUUUUAAUAUUUUUUAUUUAUAUUUAGAUUAAUACCCCUUUUUUAUGUUGUUUAGAGAGUCUCUUUGAAAUAACAAUUAUUUUUUAAUUAUUGUUUUAAUUUUUUAAGAGGUUCUUCUGAUUUAUCUAUAAUUUUUUUUUAAUCUUUUGUAUAGAUGAAUUUUAUUUUUAAAAAUAAAAAAAUUUAUUUUCAAAUAAAAUUUCUAAUAUGUACAGCCUUGCAUAUGUUUUUUUAUUCAAUCAAUAUAAUAUGUGUUUUUAUUUCUAUUAUCGUUUGAUUGAAUAAAAAACUUAUUUUAAUCAAUAAAUUUAGCAAACACAAUCAUAUAAAUAUAUCGUCUUAUAAAAUUAAAUAUCUUAAUUUAUAUCUGUCUCUUGAUUUUUCUAUUUUUAUUUUUAGUUAUCAUUUAUAGUUUUUUCCACUUAAUAACACAGAUAGUUCUUAAUUUAUUUGAUUAUAUAUAUGUAUAAACUUUUUGAUUUUCACUUAGAAUUUUUUUAAAUAAUAAAAAUAUGUUGAAAAAAUCUAUAUAUAAAUUUAUUUUUAAAAAAAAAAAUAUGUAGCUCGCGGCAAAUAAAAUAUCUAAACAUCAACUGUUUUUGAUGCCCAGAUCACGAAUACACAAUACAGAGGACCUUUCAAAGGUCUUCCAUGGCCAAUUGGUCUACUCUGUUUGCUGCCUCAUAACGUGCAUUGGAUAUUUACAUGAAACUUUGCCAGCGACUUGUAUAUGGUGGAGUGGGCAUCCUAUUUUAAAAAUUGACCCUUCACUGCCUGUUUAUACUUCAUAAGAUGUGAAAAAAAAACAAGGAUAAUUAAUCAACUCAAAGCAUGGUUUGAAUCACUCAAAAGUUCGUGCUGAUCAUGAGGAAAAGGUUUCUAAUCUCUAAUUAACAAUCUCUUAAUUAACCUAAUUUUUUACAUUUUUGCUUAAUGAACUUUCCCUCAACGGCAAUCAUCUUCAUCUAUCUACCAUAAGUUUUGAGGAUUCACCGCACCACCAGGGCAUGAACUCCAGAAAGUCUCCACCAUAAGUUUUGAGGAUUCACCGCACCACCAGGGCGUCAGUAGCACAAUCAACAUUGAUCUGAACCGAUUUUUCUUUUUAUUUGGCCACUCGACGGCAACAUCCCUAUAUAUUCCCUAUUAUUUCUUCUUCCUUUUUUAUAUUUUUCGAAUCAACGUCCCUAUUCUUUCAAGCUGGAAAUAUUUGAAUUUGCUAACUAAUUUCAAAGAUCUUCAUGCCCCACUCGUACUAUCAAAGACAAAAAUCAAGAUCUUCAUGCCCCACCAUAAGUUUUAAGCAAGUAAUAUUACGAUAUAACAAAGUUAUUUAGGGAUGUUCAAUCGAUCUUGGAAUGAAAGAAAAUCAAGAGAUUGAGAAUAUAUUUUCUAAGCCUUUAUUUCAAAGACAAAAAAAAAUGUUGAUUUUUUUUCCCAUCAUGGUAUGUUAAAUUAGAAUCUCAAAUCAAGUUUUGUUUUAUGAAAAUUAAUCACAUGACAAAUAUAUGUGUGUGUUAAAAAUCCCUAUUAUAAACAAGUCUUUCAUGUAUUUUAAAGACAAAGCGAAUUCCUCCCUUAUAAUAUAUAAUAAGAGAUGACAUGUCCGCGUGCUGUCGCAGGCUUAUAAAAAUACAUUUGAUAGUGUUAUAAUUGUGAAGCAACGCUAGAAAAGUAAUAGAAAUUAAAGGUAUGAUGGAGCAAAUAUUUCAUGACGAAAAAAAAAGUUGUGUUGGUGAUCAAAAACUUAGAGACUGAUCAAAAUGAUUUGUAGCAAUCUACAGUGUUUUGUGAGAAAAGAUACAGUGCUUUCGCCACAUGAUUUAACUUUUCAGUUAAUAAAAAGAAAAAAAAUCAUAAAGCUAAAUUCUCUACCAACUUAAUAUUAAAAAAAAAAAACCAUCAAAGAUAAUUUUGGAAGGAAAAAAACCCAUGAGAAAAAACGUUGUAGCAAUUGACAAUGUUUUGUGAGGAAAACUAUAACGUUUUUCCCAACAAAAUAAAAUAAAAAACCUUUUAGAGAAAUAUUGUAGUAAUCCACAAUGUUUUGAGAGAAAAACUACAACGCUUUCCUCAUAUGAUUUAGCUUUAUUGUAAUUAUAAUUCUUAACCAACCAAAUAUUCAAAAAAAAAAAAUCGACAAAGAUAAUUUUGGAAAAAAUCAUAAAAAAUCACAUGGGAAAACACUGCAACAGUUCACAGUGUUUUAAAGAAAAAAAUUACAAAGCUAAAUUCUUAAUCAACUCAAUAUUAAAAAAAAAAAUCAACAGAGACAAUUUUAGAAAAAAAAAUAACAAAAAAAACAACAAAAAAAGGAAAAAAAAAUCAUGUUGGAAACACUGUAGCAAUUCACAGUGUUUCGUGAUGAAAACUACAGUGCUUCCCCACAUGAUUUAGCCUUAUUUGUAAUGACUUGUAAUUGUAAUUCACAAACAACUCAAUAUUAAAAAAAUAAAAUUGAAAAAAGAUAAUUUGAAAAAAAGUAUAACAAAAAAAACCAUGCGGAGAGACACUAUAACAAUCCACAAUGUUUUAUGAGCAAAGCUACAAUGCUUUCCCCACAUGAUUAAGUUUUAUUACAAAGUUAAAUUCUAACCAACUCAAUAUUAAAAAAAAAAUCGACGAAGAUAAUUUUGGAAAAAAAUAUCACAAAAAAAGAAAACACAAAAGAAAUUGGAAAAAAAACCAUGUGAGGAAAAACUAUAUCAAUCCAUAGUGUUUUGUGAGGAAAAACUUGUAUUUACUUGUAAUUGCAAUUCUUAACCAGCUUAAUAUUUAAAAAAUAAAAUUGACAAAGAUAAUUUUAGGGAAAAACAUAACAAAAACAGAAAUAAACCAUGGGGGAAAAAACACUGUAGCAAUCAAUAGUAAUUUUCAAGGAAAGUUACAGUGCUUUCCUCACAUAUUGUAACUAUAAUUUUUAACCAGUUCAAUAUUAAAAAAUAAAAUAAAAAAAUAUAAUUUCGGAGAAAAUCAUAAAAAAAAACCAUGCGGAGAAACACUGUAGCAAUUAACAAUGUUUUAAAGAAAAAAAAUUACAAAACUAAAUUCUCAAUCAGCUCCAUAUUAAAAAAAAUUGAUAAAUAUAAUUUUGAAAAAUAAAAAAAUAAAAUAGAAAAACUAUGUGAAAAAACAUCGCAGCAAUUCACAGUAUUUUAAAGAAAAAAAUUAUAAAGUAAAAAUUUUAACUAGGUCAAUAUUUAAAAAGUAAAAUCAACAAAAAUAAGUUUGGAAAAAAAAGAAAAAAUAAACGAAAGAAAAAAGAAAAAAUAGGAAAGUUGAAAAAAAAAAGUAAUUUAAAAAUUUUUUUUUGAAAAAAAAACAAAAAAAAAAUGAAAUUUUUUUUUUAAAAAAGAAGAGAAAACAAUGUGGAUUACUGUUGUAAUCCACAGUAUUUUGUGUGUGGGGAAAUAAUGAUUCCCCCACAUAAUUUAGAGUAUGUUGUAAUGUGCUAACUCUUAUCAAUCUUCAUGUAAUCUUUCUCAUAAAUAAAAGUUAAUGCUUUAUAAGAACCUAUAUUUAUCUAAUUUCUUUUUAUUUUACUAGUUUAGCAGACGAGUGAUAUAUUAAAGCCUUGUUAAGUUAUUUAUAACAAGAAAGCAGGGGUGAUUAUUUUCGGUUCGGUUUGGUUUUUACCUAAAAAUAACCAAACCGAAUUUAAAAAAAAAAAACAAAACCGAAAACCGGUUCAAACCUAUCGGUUUUAGUUUGGGUUGGUUCGGUUAUUUUAGAAUAAAAACCAAAACCCAACCGAUUGGUUUCAGUUCGACUCGGUUUUGAUUCAGUUUCAGUUCAGUUCAGUUAUUUUAGAACCGAAACUCAACCGAUUGGUUUUGGUUUGGUUCAGUUUUGGUUCAGUUUCGGUUCGAUUCGGUUAUUUUAUAUUAAAAACCAAAAACUAUAUUGUUUUUUGGAGUUUUUUUUUUGUAAUUUCUAAUGGGUUUGGUUUUGGUUUGGCUUGGUUUUUUUCAGUUUGACUCGGUUAUUAAUUUCGGUUCAGUUUGGUUUUUCGGUUUCAGGCUUAUGAAACCGAAACCGAACCGAUCGGUUUUUUAACUAUUCUAAUUGGUUUAAUCAGUUUUUUUUCACGGUUCGGUUUUUCCAGUUAUUUUUUUUCAAUUUUCUCGUUUUAAUCAAUUUUUUGAUUUUUUUCUUAUCCCUAAAAAAAAAAAUUUGUCAAAAUAUAUUUCACAAUAUUGAUAACUUGUGGUAACCAUUGAUCAGUCGUAUUUUACCAAGUUAGGUGUUUUACUAGUCCUGGACGGUGUUUUUAUUAUUAAAUAUACCUCGUUAAACUUUAUCACUAUUUACUUUUUUCAAAUAUUUAGUUGUCAAUCUAUUUCUCUUUUUUGUUCUAUUAUUAGUUUAGUUCUAUUAUAAAUUGGAUUAUAUCUAGAAUAUUUAGAUUAUUUUUUAGAUUAAUAUGAAUAUUAAAAUUAAUAAUUAUGUAAGUCUCUAAUAAUUAUGAGAUUACUAUACAUACAAAUUCUUUUUAUCAUGAAAUUAUCCAAGAUUGCUUUUAAUAUAAAGGAAUACCAAAUUGCUUCAAUUGAGGAGCAUCUUUAAAGAUUAUAUAUUCCUAAAAAAAUAAAGAAAAACAUAUAUCAGAUUUUUAUUCAAUCUAAUCAAAUGGAAAAAUCUAAAGACACGGAAAUCUGUAAAGUUGAUAGAAUACAGCCAACGACUUAGAAGUCCUUCAUGCCCCACUCGUACUAUCAAAGACCUUUCAAAGGUCUUCCAUAUAUUGUCCCUUUGCCAAAUGCUACAUUGAUACUACUCCAUGAGACUUUUAUAAUUACCAAUACUUGAAAACGAUUUUACAUAAGAAAUCAAAAAAAGAAUAAAAAUUAGAAUCAGUCAACUAUAGCAUGACUUGAACUCCUCUCAGCAUAUAAUUAAAAGGAGCUUCUCCUCUUGAUUUCUUCAUCUCUCCUCCUCUGGCCAAAAACAAAAUGAGUAGCAGCGGCAGCGGCAGCAGCAAAUAUCUCUCUCUCACAAACUUAUCUCUCUUCACUCCUCUGUACCUCUCCUUCCUGUUCCUCUAUCUCACCAUCCUUGUAACCGGGGAUCAAGCACCUUACGUCCCUCUCGAUAGCAUAGCGCUUGAUUGUGGUUCAUCCUCCGAUAGUAUUGGAGACGAUAGAAACUGGACUGCAGACAUCAACUCAAAAGUGGCCAUUCUAGAUCAAGACGGCCCCUCAACAAAUCCCACAGAAAAAGGAGCCUCCACUAGCUCUGUACCUUAUUAUACUGCUCGCAUCUCUCUCUCCAAAUUCACCUACACAUUUCCUGUCAAAACAACAGGACCUAAGUUUGUUCGCCUCUAUUUCAAUCCAGCUUCCUACACUGGUUUCAACAGGUCUAAAGCAUCUUUUUCUGUCACAACCGGUCGCUAUACCUUUCUUAGCAACUUCAGUGGCUUCCAUUACACUGACCCACGUGGUGAACGAGGAGGUUACGCCAGAGAAUUCAUCUUAAAUGUUGAAGAUGAGCAGAAAAAUCUGAGCAUAACGUUCACGCCAAGCCCUCAUGUUGCUGAUGCAUAUGCUUUCAUCAACGGGAUUGAAAUCGUAUCCAUGCCCACCAAUCUUUAUUACACUGCAGGAGAUGACCGAGGGAUGUAUGAUGUUAACCACGAGGUCCCUCUUUCCCUUCAAAAGGACACUGCUUUAGAGAUCAUGUACCGAGUAAAUGUGGGUGGGAAAGAGAUCACACCGCCCGACGACAAUGGCAUGUUUCGAAGUUGGUUAAACGAUGUCGAUUACUUGACGGAUGUUCAACCAGACGCUUUUCAAUUUAAUGGCACUAUUCAACUUCAGUAUAAUAACCACACUCGCUAUGCUGCACCUGACGUGCUCUAUCGAACUGCUAGGGCCAUGGCGAACAAUUCAACUGUAAAUGAGAAAUACAAUCUGACUUGGGAAUUUCGGGUCCACUCCACAUUCACCUAUCUUGUUAGGCUUCAUUUCUGUCAGUUUAUACCGAUUUUAUUGCAAAAAGGCGAUAUAGUCUUUAAAAUAUAUAUCGCUAAUCAAACGGCAGAGCGUUACGCAGAUAUAAUCUCUUGGGCUGAUGGAAAUGGGGUUCCCGUAUACAGAGAUUACGUAGUGAUGAUGGAUGCCAGAGGAAACGAAGCGAUACAGAAUUUGUCAAUUGCAUUGCACCCUAUUCAGUCUACUAAUGCCUUCGAUGCAAUGUUGAAUGGAGCUGAAAUCUUCAAAUUGAGCAAAUCAGACAAUCUUGCCGGACCAAAUCCUGACGCGUAUCCGGACAGCCCCAUUAGUAAUACUCCUCCUAGCGCGACCUCAACAAAGCCAAAGCAUAUCCGAAGAGCAGUCGCCAUUAUUGGUGCUGCUGUUUCGGGCAUUGUUGUCGUCUCUGUUCUAUUUUUCUUGAUUUUCCGGAGAAGAGUCCAAAAAUUCAAGGACUUGGUUUCUGGUGAUGCAGCUUCAAACUUAAGCCCUCUUGUUUCCUCUUCAAGAAAGUCAACAAAGACCCAUAGGUCAUCUCUACCUUCUGAUCUAUGCUACCGUUUCUCGCUAGUUGAGAUCAUAGCAGCUACAAACAACUUCGACGAUUCAUUCAUUAUUGGUGUUGGUGGCUUUGGUAACGUGUACAAAGGAUUAUUUGGUGGUGGAGUCAAUCGUGCUGCGAUCAAGCGAUUGAAUCCAAGUUCACAGCAGGGUGCAACCGAGUUCAAGACAGAGAUCGAGAUGCUCUCCCAGCUUAGGUUCCGCCAUUUGGUUUCUCUAAUUGGUUACUGUAAUGAGAAUAAUGAGAUGAUCCUGGUGUAUGAUUAUAUGGCUCGGGGGACGCUUCGUGAUCAUCUCUACAGAACUGAUAAUCCUCCACUUUCAUGGACUCAACGCCUAGAGAUUUGCAUCGGUGCUGCCCGUGGGUUGCAUUACCUUCACACAGGUGCCAAGCACACUGUCAUUCAUCGUGAUGUGAAGACAACAAAUAUCUUGCUGGAUGAGAAAUGGGUGGCCAAAGUUUCGGAUUUCGGAUUGUCCAAAACAGGCCCUACGAGCACAUCGAAGGGCCACGUGAGCACCGUUGUGAAAGGUAGCAUAGGGUACUUGGAUCCCGAAUAUUGUCAACGCCAGCAAUUGACAGAAAAAUCUGAUGUCUAUUCAUUUGGGGUUGUGUUGUUCGAGGUAUUGUGUGCUAGACCAGCAAUAAACCGAUCAGCAGUGCCAGCAAGUCUAGCAGAGUUGGCUAGACAAAGCCACAGCAACGGAACGAUUAAUGAAAUCAUUGAUCCGUAUCUGGAUGGAAAGAUCUCACCAGAUUGUCUGAAAAACUUUGUUGAUGUUGCGGUGAGAUGCUUGCUCGAGAAUGGAAUCGAAAGGCCAUCGAUGACGGAUGUGGUUUGGGGCCUUGAGUUUGCAUUACAACUGCAAGAGAGCGCGGAAGAGUAUGUCAAAGUGGCUCAAACUGAGAAAGAAGUUAACAUGGAGACUCCUCUGAAAGGCUCCUCAAUCGAUGACAGCAGUGAUUUGUUUAGUACUGGCAGUGAACUAGUUGUGAAUUCCCGCAUUUUGGAAAUGGCAACAACAAGCAGCAGCGACGAACAAAGUUUUCUAAGCAACGAGUCGGAGAAAAUGAUGUCUGGUGCUGUGUUCUCUGAGAUCAUGAACCCAAAGGGGCGAUGAGAAGCAAGCUAGCUAGUUAGCAUGCUGCAUUAGUAUAGGCCUCAAGACAGAUGUUUCUAGCUGAAAUACCUAUCGAUGCAUAUAUAUGCAUUACUUGUUUGAAUAAUUUUGGUAGUGAUAAUUAGUGUGUCUGAUAGAAUGAUUUUAUUGCAGUACUCUGCAUAUUCAGCAUUAAUUGGAACCAAUUUUUCAUGUUAUUUGACCACUCAGCCGCAAGAUCACCACAAUUUCAAGCUAACAAUAUGAACAAGUGCAUGCUUAGUAAUUAACAAGUUAGGGAUGGUCAAGCUAUCUGAUUCAAAAUUCGGCUGACUUGGGUGAAAGGAAAUCAAUAGACUGAGAAGAUUCUCUCUACGCAAUCAACUCUUUAUUUACAAAAUAAAAAAAGCUGACUUUUUUUCCCAAAAACAUUUGUUCCCUACUCCUAUCAUAAUAUAUUUAAUCAAUAUGUUAAAACCAAAUUUUCUUUACACACAAUAAAAAAAAUAGAAAAUAUAUUUAAUGCAUGUAGAUAUAUGGUAUUAGUAAAAUAGUAAAUUGAUAACAACAUUGUAAGAAUUUCAUGUUAUUAUUUUCCGAAAUAUAUUGGACAUGAUUAUCCUUGCCAACUUAUCAAGUGAUAUUGUAGAGAAAAUAAGAUAAAAAAAUAUUAAAUAAGAAUUAAAAUGAUUGUAUAAAUUAAUAAGAUAAAACAACGUGAAUUUAGUAGUUAUAUCGAAAUUUAUGAAAAUCAAUAAAGAAAGGUCCACAUGUUAAGGACGAAAAAUCUGACGUUUCAUUUCCUGCAGAACGUUACCAAUAUAUUUCUAUAAUUUUUUUUAAAAAAAAAACAAUUCCACGGAAAUAUACAGAAGUCUGAUUAUGAUGUCUUAAAAGUUAAUUUUCUUGGAAAGUGGGGAUUUUUUUUAAUGUUGAAUUAUUGAUUGAAUAACGCCAACGACUUGGAAGUCUUUGAUGCCUUUCAAAGGUCGCUGCUACACAGCGCAGACAGACGACCUUUCAAAUGUCACUUCUUCCACUUCCAAUUGGUCCACUCUAUUUGUUGCCUCAUAAUGUGCAUUAGAUGUUUCCAUGAAACUGGGCCCAAAGGCUUGGAACUUUGCCAACAACAUGUAUUUGCUUUUGAUAUUCCAUUUUUCACGCCGGAGUGGGCAUCUUAUUUUAAAAAUUGACCUUUUUAUUUUUUGUUCAAUUCUGCAUAAAUCUUAAUUUCCCUUUCACUACCUAUUUAUUCUUAAUAUGAAAUAAAAAAUAAUAAUUAGCCAACUCAAAGCAUGGUUGAUGCAGGCGAUAACUAUAUAACGAUAAUAACAAUAUAGAAAACACAGUAAAAUUUUAUGAGCGAAAAAAAUACAUAUAUGAAUCAUGAAUUUAUAAUUUUAUUAUUUGAAAAUAAAAUUAAUAAAGUUUACUUUUUUAGAUGUUUACAAUAUCUAUAAAUAGAUAAAAAAAAAAAAGGCCUUACAUCUAUUAGAAAAUAAUUAGAAAUCUAAAAGCAUGCACAAAGGGAAUUAAAAUAAAAAACCAAAUGAAAUAAUAAAUCCAAAAAUAACCUAGAAAAAAUAACGAAAUUGACCAAACAGCAACAUCCAGGCUUGAUUUUUAAUUCCAAGAGAUCCAACAGUCUGAUAAGAGAUGUCAUUUUAAGGUGUUAACCCAAUCUAACGUGACAAGACCUCUUCUUAGACCUAGAGAUGUCUCAUUGAUUCAUAAAAAUAUAUUUUAGGCCAUCCAUAUAAUAUGUCUAAGUCAGACCCCUAUCUAGUUGUGUAAAAUUCCUAUUUUAUUGUAUCAUAUCUUUACCCGAAUACUCAUAAACUUUAUUUACUAACUGCAUCAAUGGUUUGAAUCUCUUUGCGUAUUAAAAGGAGCCGAUCAAUCUCAUCUCAUCUCUAUAUUUUUUUUUACCACUUCUAGUAAAAAAAAAAAAAAACCAUGUGUUGUCAAGGAAAAAAAAGGAUUUCUAAUCUACCAAGAUUUUAGAUUUUUUUUUUUUGGGUGGUAAAUGACAUCAAACUUUACAUAAUAUUUAUAUUUAUAUUUAUAUAACUAAACUAAUAAUAUAACUAGAUCAUUGGAGUCUAAAAAUCUCUCUCUCUCUCUCUCUCUCUCUCUCUCACACACACACACACACACACACACAUCUCUCUCUCUCUCUCUCUCUCUCUCACACACACACACACACACACAUCUCUCUCUCUCUCUCUCUCUCUCUCUCUCUCUCACACACACACACACACACACACGAAUUUGGUCCCCAUUUCUCAUUUUUAUAUUACUAGUGUGGUGAUCCACGUUCAAGACAAAAAACAAUAUUAUGGCUAUGAUAAUCUAAGUUAAGUUAAGUUAACUUGAUUAACCUGUGAUCAAGAUAAAAAAUUAGUAUAAUUCUAUAGAAAAGAAAGUGAAAAAAAUAAUAAUGCUCAAAGCCCAAUAACCUAAUGUCAAAAGAUAAAACUUGAAAAAUAAAAUUUAAAAAUAGAAAUGUCGAAGAAAAAACACAAGUCAACCCGGGCUCACCCAACUACCCGCUACCCUAGAUAUGAGAUCAAAAUAAAAAAAUAAUUUUUUAAAAAAGACUUAAGAAAAAGAACGAGUCAACCCGGGCUCACCUAGCUAUCCUCUACCCUCGAUACGAGAUCAGAAUAAAAAAAUAAAAUUUUAAAAAAAGACUUAAAAAAAAAGAUUGAAGUUAAAUCAAUAAAUAAAAUAUCAAGAAAACAAUUGAGUCCACAUGGGUUAACUUGACUAACUCGUAACUUAGGCCAACCUCAUAUAAAGGAAAGUGGAAAAAAUCACUAAGAUCAUGACCCAACAAUCUAAUGUCAAAGAAUUAAAUUGAAAUAAAAAAUCAUUUUAAAAAAGAUGUAAAAAAAAUUGAGUCAACAAAGGUUCACUCGACUAACUCGCAACCCGUAGAAUGUGAUCGGGAAAAAAAUGUAUUUAAAAUAAAAAGGACUUAGAAAAAAACACCGAAGAAAAAUAAAAGGAAUAUCGAAAAACCCCGAAGUCAACCCAGGUUAACUUGACAAACCUGCGACUCAGAGUAACCCCACAAAAAGAAAAAUAAAAAAAAUCACAAAGCUUAAGGCCCAAUAAUGUAAUUUCAAAUGAUGAAAUAAAAAAAAUAAAAUUAAAAAAACCAUAAAAAAUCUAAGAUUUGUGAUAUGAGAUCGAGAUAAACUCACAUAAAAGAAUGAGGAAAAAAUCAUGAAGCUCAAGACCCAAUAACUUAAUGUUGAAUGAUGAAAUAAAAAAUUAAAUAAAAACCAUGAAAAUCAAGACUGAAUAAAAAUUAAAACUCGAAUGAACCUGGGUUCAUCCAGCAAACCCAUGACUUAGGAUAAGAUAGAAAAAGAAAAGUGAAAAAAACCAUGAAACUUAAGACUCAAUAACCUAAAGUUAAAUGAUAAAAUUGAAAAAUAAUCAAUUUUAAGAAAAGGGCAUAAAAAUAUUGAAGUUAAAUCGGGUUAAUCCUCGAAACUAGUAACCUGAGUGAUGAGAUCAGGAUUAAACAAUAGAAGGCAAACUCUAAAAAAUACCAUGCAAAAUCCCUAAUCAUCCAAAAUUAGAUAAACAAAACAAAUAGCAAUAAAAAAUAAGAACCAGAUCUGGCAUAAAAAUUAAAUGAAAGAAAACAAUGAGGGACUAAAUUAAAAAUUAAAAUAAAUUAAGAAAAUGAUAAAAAAAAUAGCAAUCAAAGAAUGAGAACCAAAAUUGGACACAAAAAUUAAACAAAAUAAAAUGAUGAGGAAUAAAAUUGAAAAAAAAUAGCAAUCAAAAGAAUGAGGACCAAACUGGAUUAAAUAAUUAAAUGAAAUAAAAUAUUUAGGGAUAAAAUUGAAAAAAAUAAAGUUCAAAAAGCAUUAAAAGAAAAAAAAAUAGCAAUAAAAAAUAACCAAAAUUGAUAGAAAUACAACCUGGAGGACACAAUUAAUUUUUGAAAGGGCUGGUGCAAAUUUUGAGGUCAGGAGAGAGAAAAGAAAGAGGAGAAGAAAAAGGUUCAUCGAAGCUUAGCCUCACCUCCAUUGAGAAGAAAAAGGUUCAUCCUUCAUCGUGAGAGAGGAUAAGAGACCAAGAUAACUCUAUAAAAAAAAAGUGGAAACAACCAUGAAACUCAAGGCCUAAUAACCUAAAGUUAAAUGAUAAAAUUAAAAAAUAAUCAAUUUUAAGAAAAGGGCAUAAAAAAUAUCAAAUUUAAAUCGGGCUAAUCCUCAAAACUAGUGACCUAAAUCAUGAGACCGGGAUUAAACCAUAAAAGGAAAACUCUAAAAAAUACCAAGCAAAAUCCCUAAUAAUCCAAAAUUAGAAAAAUAAAAUAAAUAGCAAUAAAAAAAAUAAAAACUAAAUAUAGCAUAAAAAUUAAAUGAAAGAAAACAAUGAGGGACUAAAUUGAAAAUUAAAAUAAAUUAAGAAGAAAAAAUAAAAAAUAGCAAUCACAUAAUGAGAAUCAAAAUUGGAUAUAAAAAUUAAAUUAAAUAAAAUUCUUAAGGAAUAAAUUGAAAAAAAUAAAUUUCAAUAAAGCAUUAAAAGCAAAAACAAAUAGAAAUAAAUAAAAAUGAUGACUAAAAUUGAUAAAAAUAUAACCUGUUGGUGCAAAUUUUGAGGUCUGGAGAGAGAAAAAAAAGGAGAGGAAAAAGAUUCAUCGGAGACCAACCUCACCUCCAUCGUGAACACGUGUCCCAUCAUUGCGAAAAAGAGCUUUAAAUGUUGUAGUGAAUGACAACAUUUAACCACUGGAAGGUGCCACCAAGGUUGUCAAUUCUGUUUCGUUUUGCCUAGAAUGGCCGAAAUAUUCCAUACCAAUUCAAAAAACGAAACAAAUUUCAUCUCAUUUUAAAUCUCGAUCCGUUCUGGAUUUUUCGACUAAAUUCCCCCCAGAAUGUUCCGGUUUCAUUCCACAUGUUUCGUUCCGCUCUUAAAAAGCCGUUGAAUCAAAUUGAACCUUGUUCAAUUUAAUUAAUUAAACCACCCAAUUAUAAAAAGCUCUUUUUCAUUACUAUUUUCAAUAACAAUGAUAUUGAUAAUAAUAUUGAAAAUUAUUAUUACUAUUUUCAUUAAAAAAUGAUAUUAAUUUUUUAAAAUUAGAUUUAUCACUAAUAUAUAUGGUUUAUAUUCAUGUUGUUUUUUUUUCAUGUUUAUACUUUGUAUGAAUUUGAGCAAAACAAGGAAUGCUUUAGAUUCCAUUAGCCUUGAUAACAUUGACCUAACUUUAUAUUUAAAAUAUUUGUGUUAAAAAAUUUUAUUUUCAUAAUAUUUUGAUAUUUUGUUUAAGUUGAAUUACUUUAAGUUAAAAACCAAUUUAAUCUUGACUAUUUAGGAAUAUUUUAAAUUUUGAAAUUAUAUUUGUUUAGCAUUGUGUUUGUAUUGCAUAAUUUAUAAUUAAUUUAUCUUGAAUUUGAAUUAUGUUUGUUGAAUUUAUAUAUAUAUAUAUGAACAGUACAACCCCGAAACGGCACACCGAAACUGAAACGUUCCAUUCCAAUUGAAAAAACGAAACACCUACUGAAACGGAAUUGACAACCUUGGGUGCCACACGCGCCGCCUAAAGAACGUGAAUGCCUCUAAAUUGUUGGUGUGUGUGUGACAUUGAUCGGCAUGGUCAUGAUUCAUUCUCAUUGCAUCCAUAACCAUUGUCCUUUAAGGAUUAUUGUUGUCAUCUACAACUCCAAGCACGUUGCUAACACUAAAAAUUGACUCAACCAUCCUUUCUAUCAUGGUCUCGUGAUGAACAAUUGGUUUUCUCUCUGCAUACCAAAACUAUUCCUCCAUGAACUUUUUAUUUUCACACCUCUUGCAUAGAUACCUAAUACCGCCUCCACUAAUAUUUCUCGGAUUAGAUAUUGUGUAAUUAAUAAAACCCUAAACUCUAUUACAAUAAUUCAUCCUCCACAAUCAUUGGGGUGAAUCUCGAUAUAUUCAUGAACGAUCAUUCAUCACUUCUAUCAAACCUAUAUCAAAUAAUGAUGACAACAUAUAUUUAAUUAACUAUGUAAACUAAAUAAAUUUGCAAAAAUAUUGGUUUAGCGCAAGAUUAUUCAACCUACUUUAAUACUUCUUUUAAUUCAUUAUCAAUUAUCUACGUAAAUACAAAUUUGUAUACUUUUAUGGAAAUUACAACUCGACAAUAAAAUCAAUAAAAUAUAUAACGGACCCGUUAUUAAACAAGCUAUUAUUUAUUUCAUCACAACACAUCUAAGUCAGUAAUUCAACAUAAGUUUCAAUAAUUUAUAAAUAAAUAUAAUUUUACAAAAUCUAAAACAAACCAUAACAUGUACAAAAUCAUAAAUCCAUACAACAAGUUUGUUUGAGAAAAAAUAAUAAAACAAGUAAACACGUAAACAAAAUACAUAUACUACAAAAAUAUACAAUAAAAAAAUUAACAUUUUAAAAUUAUAUUCAAAUUAAAAAAAAUUUACUUUCUUAAAUGGAAAUCCUUAAUAAAAUUUCAACAAAAAUUCCAUUCAAGUGUCUUAGACGACUUCUGAUGCUACGGGGGUUCGCCUUUAUAUACAGAGGAACUGCACCCCACUAAUUAUUGCACAAAUAAUAGGAGAGCUUUUAUUUGUGAGAUGCUGCCGUAAAUAUAUUGAUAGGAGAGCUUAUAUUUAUGUUGACAGAAGAAAAAUCAAGAAAGCAAUGGUGAUAAUAGAUGAGUGAUUAAGAGAAGAGAGAAGAAAUAAAUAAGAAUUAUAAAUAGAAUUAUUGAGCUGAUUUAGUCUUGGUGUUUUAAUAUAGAUUAUCAUUGUGUUCAAUUACAAGUCUAAAUUUUUUUUUUUUAAAAAUCGAUUUGACUAUGAGUUUUUGGAUCUUUAUAUUCAUGGAGUUUAAAUCAGUUGGUAUCAGAGUAAGAUGCUAAAAUCAUGUUAUAUCCUUUUAUUUUUUAGUAUCCGUGUUAUUUCAUUGUUGUCACUUGCAUCUAGAACCCAGUUGUAGAAACAAUUAAAAAAAAAGAUUAUUUGUGAUAUAGUUGAAUACAAUUAAGGAAAAAUAAAAGAUAAAUGAAAAAAAAAGGGAAUUCGACAACUCAUAUAUGAGAAAUGUUAAGUUUUGAGAUAUCUUUGUGACAUGUCGGGUUGGGCCAGUGGCCGGGCUGGGUUGCUGGGUCUUGCCUAGCCUGUUAGGUCGGGCUAGAUCCAGCUUAGUAAAAAAAAGAGUGGGCCAGGUCUUGGUCUUAGGCCCAUCCAGCCCAAGCUACUUUGGACUAAGAGUGUGAUUGAAAAAAUACACCCUUGUGUCUUUUCCAUGUAUUUUAUUCAUUUUUUUGUUUUGAUAUCCGGUUAAACGAGAUCUUUUUUAUAGUAGAAAAUUCCAUAAAAAUUUAGGGAUCUUCGUUGAUUUAUUUAUGGGCCCUCGCAUUUUAUUUUAUUUUUGUUCUUUGCGUAUUUUGUUUUUCAUUGCAUGUUCAAUCUACGGACCUUUACUGCUAAGGGAAACCUAUUAUACAAUGCACUUUUUUCUUCUUGUCUAAAAAAGAGCAAUAAUAAAAACAAAAUAGAAAAAAGGUAAAAAAAGGCAUAGAAAAAUUAUUUAUUCUUCAUUUAAAUUCAAAAUUUACGGAUUUAUUUAAUAGCGUUAGAGUAAGGAGUAUCACACUUUUUGGGUUGUGCAUUAUUUACUAAUGCCAGAGUUGAGAAUAUUUGUAAGUAAAUGUUCACGGACGCCAGAGUCAGGAACAUUGGAGGAAGAUAAAAAAAAAAGAGGAAAACAAAUUCUUAACAAUUAUCUUUUAUUUUAUACAAAUAUAUAUAAAAAAGGAUCUACAUGUAUACAUAAGAGAUGGAGGGACCAAACUGGAUCUUUGAAAUUUUUUAGAAACUUAAUUGCAUCCUUUAAAGACUUAAAUAUGAAAAGUAAUGCAAAUUCAAGGCUAACUUAAAUGAAUAUUGGAUAAAUUUGCAUAAAAAUUAAAUCUGAGGACUUAAUUAGAUUUUUAAUAAGUUGAUUUGAUUUAAUCAUAGUUCUAAUUAAAGGUUAAAUUAACUUUAUAAAUUAAUUUAGAUCGAAAUUAAAAGAAUUAAUUAAGUGCAAGAACUUAAUUAGUUUUUUAAUGGGUCAACUUAAUUUUACUAAGGAUUUAAUUAGUGAAAAACUAAACUUGAAAGUUUAAUUGAAAAGAUUAGAAUUUUGACAGACCAAACUUAAGUUUUACAAUAUUAAUUGGAUGAAAUCAGGGGUGAAAUUGUAAGUAAAUCAAAAUUUAAGAGUCAAAUUAAAGGUAAAAUUAAAAAAAUUUAAAACCAAGAACUUGUCCACAAUAAACACGCAAAAUUAGGGGUUGUACCAAACAUUUUUGGGGACGAGACUGAAGAGAAUCGAAGUUUAAUGUUUAAUGAGGGAUUAAAUUGGACAAAUCAGAAAACAAGUGCUCCUUUAGCGGCCAUGGCCCCCUCUGUCUCCCUAGACUCUGCAAAGGUUUGUGUGUGAUUAUCUCCUCUCUAUGACAAUACUUUUCUAUGAUUCAAUUCAUAUAUAUUGAAUUUCAACCACAAGUAACGUAAUUUAAAGUUUAACGCAAAUUUAUUCUACCAUGAGAGUUAUAUGAUUCAAUUCAAGACCCACUCGAUCCAAUAGAUAAUAGAAACAGUAGUGGUAAGGGAAUUUAACAAACUCCCAAAAAAGAGAGUACAUAUUAGAGAGAGAUCUACCUCCAUCACGCAUGGGCAUGGAAUAACUGCAAGUAGAUUAAUGAAACUAGCAGGUGCGUUUGUACACCGACAAGCAGUCCUUAUUAAAACGACCCUUAGGCACGCAAUAUCGUUUGCCUCGGCCGCAACCAUACAAUGCUGCAUAAGGAUUUUGAGUACCUCCGGUUGUGCCGACGCGCGAGCCAGUCAGAAUCCUGUUAAUUUCAGAAUCCAUCAUGAACUCCAAAUCCAAGUUGGAAUCAGCUAUGGAGUACAAGGGGACGUCACCGUCCAUUUCCGGCAAUAAAAUACUAGCACCGCAACUCUUUGUGUUGAGCAGCAUCAUCAUCAACAACAACGACAAUGUUAGAGAAGACAAGGAAAGACUCUUCAUAGUAUCCCUCUUAUGUUUCGCUAGCUCUUUCAAUGCUAAUCUAUGAUAAAAGCGAGCAGCUAACUCCGUAUGUAUGGGAUAGGGUGGCAGUGAUCGGCGGUGUUGAAGGUGAUAAGAUGAGGAAUGUGGCAACGCUGGAUUGGUUAGCUCAUAUAUAAAAAAUGACAUCAUAUAGAUGAGACAAUUGGUAAAAUUAUUGAUAAUUGUUUGUUAGAGUGGGAGAUUGAUAAAGUUUUAAAGUAAACAAUGUAACCUCUAAUAAUGUAACUAUUUUAUAUUUGAAGAAUGUGAUGAAAAAUUGGUCAAUUAAUGUAUUAUCAAAUGAGCAUUUGCAUGUUAGAUGUUAUGCAUACAUUGUAAAUGAGUCUAUCUUGGUUUAUGCAUUUAGGUUCACUAAACAAUGCUCCCAAUUAACACUUGAGUGUCACUGAUGAAUAUUAGACCAAUUAACUUGGGUAACUUAUUUCUUAAUUUUUAAAGCCAAGACAAGAGGUGUUACUCUCUAUUAGUGUUCAAGACAAUGACUCAUAUUAAAUCUAUUCCACCCAAAACACUAUGAAUAAAUAACUAAAUACAUUUGAUUUUCAGACACAGUUUAAAAAUAAAUGAGAGUUUGUUGUUUUGAUAUGGAAUGUCAUUCAUUUGCAAGCUGGUCUUGAUUAUUUUUAUUGAAAAAAUGAAUGAGACAAUACUCAUGUCUUGGUAGAUUCAUAAGUAAGAAUGAAAUAUAGGAGGAAAUAAGAUGUUGUCAAGCUAAAACAACACUAGUAAUUAUUAAAAACACAUCAAAAACUAACAUGAUAUAUAUAUAUAUAUAUAUAUAUAUAUAUAUAUAUAUAUAUAUAUAUAUAUAUAUAUAUAUCAUGUUAAUACUAACUUGAAUGAAGCUCCCUCCAUAAAAACAUUUAUUAACAAUUAAUUAUAUUAAAUAAAAAAGAAUAUUAAAGGGAAAUAAAAUAUAAAUAUUACCCAUUGUAGAGAAACAUAUAUGAUUAAAUUCGACACCCACUCGAUUCCAAUAGAUAAUAAUGACAGUAGUAGAAAGGGAAUUAACAAGCUCCCUAAAAAUUAAAUAGGUACAUAUCAUGGGCAUGGAAUAACUGCUAGUAGAUGAAAGAAACUACUAGCAGUCGCGUUUAUAUAAUUCAAUAGAUAACACCUACCGAAACGGAAUUGACAACCUUGCACAAAAUAUAAUCUACCGCACAAAAUAUAAUCUACCAUGAGUAUUAUAUGAUUCAAUUCGACACCCACUCGAUUCCAAUAGAUGAUAAUGACAGUAGUAGAAAGGGAAUUAACAAGCUCCCUAAAAAUUAAAUAGGUACAUAUCAUGGGCAUGGAAUAACUGCUAGCAGUCGCGUUUGUACUGCGACCCGCACUUCCGUGUAUUAUCAGGACCCUUAGGCACGCAGUAUCGAUUACCUCGGCCGCAACCAAACACUGGUUUCUGACGAAUGAGAGGAUCAACUCCGGCAUUGCGAGAGCCAAGAAUCCUGUUGAUUUCAGAAUCCAUCAUGAACUCCAAAUCUAAGUUGGAAUCAGCUAUGGAGUACAAGGGGACGUCACCGUCCAUUUCCGGCAGUGAAAUACUAGCACCGCAACUUUUUGUGUUGAGCAGCAUCAUCGUCAACAACAACGACGACAAUGUUAGAGCUGACAAGGAAAGGCUCUUCAUGGUAUCUCUUUUAUUUUUAGCUAGCUCUUCUUAACGCUGUCUAUCUAAUCACCUAUAUAUAAAAGCAAGCAUCUAACUCUCUGUAUAUAUAUGGGAGAGUGGCGGUGUUGAAGG
Molecule: long non-coding RNA, 36013 nt
Filed under: Populus trichocarpa (black cottonwood)
Lineage: Eukaryota; Viridiplantae; Streptophyta; Magnoliopsida; Malpighiales; Salicaceae
Description: long non-coding RNA (PTRI_LNC003853)
Source: RNAcentral